RNAcentral lists this ribosomal RNA (417 nucleotides) under uncultured bacterium. RNAcentral describes it as "bacterial SSU rRNA". It matches the Rfam family "Bacterial small subunit ribosomal RNA", at positions 362 to 775 of the family's 1533-position model. The record is from RNAcentral.
UAUUGGUCACUGGGCGCGAGCCUGAACCAGCCAAGUAGCGUGAAGGAUGACGGGCCUAUGGGUUGUAAACUUCUUUUAUAUGGGAAUAAAGUUUUACACGUGUGUAAUUUUGUAUGUACCAUAUGAAUAAGGAUCGGCUAACUCCGUGCCAGCAGCCGCGGUAAUACGGAGGAUACGAGCGUUAUCCGGAUUUAUUGGGUUUAAAGGGAGCGUAGGGGGAUUGUUAAGUCAGUUGUGAAAGUUUGCGGCUCAACCGUAAAAUUGCAGUUGAAACUGGCAGUCUUGAGUACAGUAGAAGUGGGCGGAAUUCGUGGUGUAGCGGUGAAAUGCUUAGAUAUCACGAAGAACUCCGAUUGCGAAGGCAGCUCACUGGACUGUUGACUGACACUGAGGCUCGAAAGUGUGGGUAUCAAACAG